Molecule: transfer RNA, 71 nt
Filed under: Bos taurus (domestic cattle)
Lineage: Eukaryota; Metazoa; Chordata; Mammalia; Artiodactyla; Bovidae
Also listed under: 5 other names
Rfam family: tRNA
About the family: Transfer RNA (tRNA) molecules are approximately 80 nucleotides in length. Their secondary structure includes four short double-helical elements and three loops (D, anti-codon, and T loops). Further hydrogen bonds mediate the characteristic L-shaped molecular structure. tRNAs have two regions of fundamental functional importance: the anti-codon, which is responsible for specific mRNA codon recognition, and the 3' end, to which the tRNAs corresponding amino acid is attached (by aminoacyl-tRNA synthetases). tRNAs cope with the degeneracy of the genetic code in two manners: having more than one tRNA (with a specific anti-codon) for a particular amino acid; and 'wobble' base-pairing, i.e. permitting non-standard base-pairing at the 3rd anti-codon position.
Source: Rfam by way of RNAcentral
UCCUGGUGGUUUAGACGGUAAAGCGUCUACCUGCGAUGCAGGAGACCCAGGUUCAAUCCCUGGGUCAGGAA